UUGAACGCUGGCGGCAGGCCUAACACAUGCAAGUCGAGCGGAUGAAGGGAGCUUGCUCCUGGCUUCAGCGGCGGACGGGUGAGUAAUGCCUAGGAAUCUGCCUGGUAGUGGGGGAUAACGUCCGGAAACGGGCGCUAAUACCGCAUACGUCCUGAGGGAGAAAGUGGGGGAUCUUCGGACCUCACGCUAUCAGAUGAGCCUAGGUCGGAUUAGCUAGUUGGUGGAGUAAAGGCCUACCAAGGCGACGAUCCGUAACUGGUCUGAGAGGAUGAUCAGUCACACUGGAACUGAGACACGGUCCAGACGCCUACGGGAGGCAGCAGUGGGGAAUAUUGGACAAUGGGCGAAAGCCUGAUCCAGCCAUGCCGCGUGUGUGAAGAAGGUCUUCUGAUUGUAAAGCACUUUAAGUUGGGAGAAAGGGCAGUAAGUUAAUACCUUGCUGUUUUGACGUUACCAACAGAAUAAGCACCGGCUAACUUCGUG
This 483-nucleotide ribosomal RNA is filed under the name uncultured bacterium. RNAcentral's name for it is "partial 16S ribosomal RNA". It matches the Rfam family "Bacterial small subunit ribosomal RNA", at positions 30 to 507 of the family's 1533-position model. The record is from RNAcentral.